Molecule: ribosomal RNA, 1429 nt
Filed under: Xylophaga oregona
Lineage: Eukaryota; Metazoa; Mollusca; Bivalvia; Myida; Xylophagaidae
Description: 16S ribosomal RNA
Rfam family: Archaeal large subunit ribosomal RNA (bases 753-1429)
Source: RNAcentral
UAUAAUUUCUCUACUCCUGCGGGAGCUGUGUGUUUUUAAAUUUAGCAAAAUCAUUUUAUUAUUGGUAUAUUUGUAGAGUUAUUUUUUAUUUUUAUAGUGUUCGAAGGAGCUGUUUUCUUUUUUAAAAAAUCAGGUUACCCCUGUUACUUUUUGUAUCAUGGCUUAUAUAGGGCGUGGUUUUAUUAAUUAUCCUGAAACCUUUAGAGCUACCCCCUUAAUUAGCCUUAUUUUUGGGGCCCCUCGGUGCCGCAUAGAGGGGCCUGGGGCUCCCUGUGGUUGCAUAGGAGGUGUAGGUCAGUGCGGGCCUUUAGAAGGAGAAUAGGUUUGCACUUCUAGGUUCGACACAGGGUGCUGGGUUGUGUUGAAACACACCCCGAAAUAGGGGGGUAGGUGUGACAUGUAUGUCGAAUAGGGUGAUAGCUGGUUGAAAGGGAAAUAUAUAUAAGUGUAGAUCAGCGCUGGGUUUUAACCCUUUUUCGGUUUCCCGGUUUAGUGGAUUCCCGAUUGCGCUGAUUUCAGCCUUUUAGGGUUAAUCUUAAAAGGUGCGUGUUAGUGGGUUCAUAAAUAAAGUAUGGUUAGUAUUUCCUCUCUUUUCAAAUUUUUGUUCAAAUUGGUUUUAAAUUUCUUUCAUUCUCAGUACCUUUCUUUUAUUUUAAACUUUAAAGUGAAAAUUAGUAUAAGAUUAGUAGGCUAAAUAUGCGGGUUAAUAUAGCCGCAAUUUUGAUAGUUUUAAAUUCUUUUUGGUGUGUUUUCCUCCGAAAAUUGGAAAGGUGUUUAAAAGUUUUUUGUUCUUCUUAUGUGGGUGUAAGGAACUCGGCAAGUAUGGUCUCCGCCUGUUUAUUAAAAACAUGGCUUUUAGGUUUUAAAUAUUAAAAGUCGGGCCUGCCCGGUGGAUAUUCUUUAAACGGUUGCUAUUGAUGGUAGUACUAAGGUAGCGUAGUAAUUUGUCCCUUAAUUGGGGAACGGUAUGAAUGGUUUAACGCGAGACCAACUGUCUCACACUCAAAGGUCGAAGUUUUCGUUUAAGUGAAAAGACUUAGGUAUAUUUAAAAGACGAGAAGACCCUUUCGAGCUUACUGAAAUUAAAUUCCUUUCGUGUUUUUUUGAAUUUUUGUUGGGGCAAUAGAAAGGAAGUAUAACCCUUUUCUCUUCCGUAUAGAUCCCUUAUUAAGGAAUUUAGAAAAAGCUACCGUAGGGAUAACAGCGUUAUUUCUUUAGAGAGUACAUAUUAAAAAAGAAGCCUGCGACCUCGAUGUUGAAUUAGAGUGUAAUCUGGGCGCAGCAGCUCGGAUAGUAGGCCUGUUCGUCCUUUAAAACUUUACAUGAUUUGAGUUUAGACCGGCGUGAGCUAGGUCGGGUUCUAUCUUUAUUUUGAGUUUCCUAUGUACGAAAGGACCGGGGAGCUGGUAUUUUUUACCUAAUUGUGGUG